RNAcentral lists this transfer RNA (72 nucleotides) under Opeltia flavorubescens. RNAcentral's name for it is "tRNA-Ile (TAT) (tRNA-Ile-TAT-1-1)". It matches the Rfam family "tRNA". Rfam says of the family: Transfer RNA (tRNA) molecules are approximately 80 nucleotides in length. Lineage: Eukaryota; Fungi; Ascomycota; Lecanoromycetes; Teloschistales; Teloschistaceae. The record is from RNAcentral.
UCUUCCUUGGCGCAGUGGUAGCGCGCCGUUCUUAUAAUGCGGAUGUCGUGGGUUCGACCCCCACAGGAAGAA